AUUUAAGCUAGACAUGCAUCAACUCUGCUGAUAUCUACAUGGUAGCAACGUUUUUGGUCAGACUUAUUUUGUAUGUGUAACUUAGCUAGCUAAAUACAUCAAGGACACACAUAUAGAUACGUUCACACGUUAUCCAUGAAGCCACAGUUCGAUUCUGUUGAGCCUAGGAGGAAGAAGAGUUGGGAGCGUAUCAAACUAAACUGAAGAGUAAACCUUUCAACAUGAUGAUUUGACCCCGAAAGAGAGCCAACCGCAGCAUCCAGCAGCUCAGAUGCAGAAGGCAGCACGACUGGAGAGGACUCAUGAACCGAAGGCAACAGAGUGAAGCUGAGUUGUCAAGAUAAUGUGAGCAUGCCUGCCGUUCAAGACCUGGUCCACAUUCUGCACAACCAGUCAGUACAUCAAGCACCUGGAGGCUGAGGUCAAGUUCAGUAAGGUCUGUCUGAUGAGCCCACCUCAGAGUCUCGUUACCACUGAGUCUCAUGAAAGUUCUUCUUACGCAAUUUGGUCACCAAUGGAUAUUCAUGUCAUGUAAUGAAUUACAGUGGUAGAUUUUCAUCUUGUUGGAUGUUUAUAAUCCAUGAAGUUUCUACUGUUGUCUAUUGUCCUAAGAAAGCACAGUUGUUUGUAGGUCUGUGUAUUUCUUGUUGUUUGUGACUGUAUCUGUUGUUUGUGACUGUAUCUGUUUGUGACUGUGUACAGUGCAUUCAUUUUGUUACGUUACAGCCUUAUUAUAACAUUGAUUUAAUUGUUUUUUCCCCCUCACGAAUCUACACACAAUACCCCAUAAUGACAAAGCAAAAACAGGUUUUUAGACAUUUUUGCAAAUAAAAAAAUAAAUAAUAAAAAAUGGAAAUAUUACAUUUACAUAAGUAUUCAGACCCUUUACUCAGUACUUUGUUGAAGCACCUUUGGCAGCGUUUACAGCCUCAAGUCUUCUUUUGUAUGACGCUACAAGCUUGGCACACCUGUAUUUGGGGAGUUUCUCCCAUUCUUCUCUGCAUAUCCUUUCAAGCUCUGCCAGGUUGAAUGGGGAGCGUCGCUGCACAGCUAUUUUCAGAUCUCUCCAGAGAUAUUUGAUCGAUCGGGUUCAAGUCCGGGCUCUGGCUGAGCCACUCAAUGACAUUCAGAGACUUGUCCCGAAGCCACUCCUGCGUUGUCUUGGCUGUGUACUUAGGGUCAUUGUCCUGUUGGAAGGUGAACCUUCGCCAGAGGAAAUCUUCAACAGAGAAAUGCUGGAGUUCUGUCAGAGUAACCAUUGGGUUCUUGGUCACCUCCCUGACCAAGGCCCU
This is a long non-coding RNA of Oncorhynchus nerka (sockeye salmon), 1292 nucleotides long. RefSeq lists it as uncharacterized. The record is from RefSeq and is a predicted model, not a curated record. The transcript has 3 exons. Lineage: Eukaryota; Metazoa; Chordata; Actinopteri; Salmoniformes; Salmonidae.